This 408-nucleotide ribosomal RNA is filed under the name uncultured bacterium. Its description in RNAcentral is "partial 16S ribosomal RNA". It matches the Rfam family "Bacterial small subunit ribosomal RNA", at positions 28 to 526 of the family's 1533-position model. The record is from RNAcentral.
GACGAACGCUGGCGGCGUGCUUAACACAUGCAAGUCGAACGAAGUGGCGAACGGGUGAGUAAUACGUGGGUAACAUGCCCUCCUUUUUGGGGUAAGCCUUGGAAACGGGGUCUAAUAACGAAUAACGGGUGUGGGGCUCGUGGCCUAUCAGCUUGGUGGUGGGGUGGUGGCCUACCGAGGCGGUGCCGGGUAGCUGGCCUGAGAGGGUGAACGGCAACAUUGGGACUGAGCUGCGGCCUAGAGUCGGCAGGGAGGGAGCAGUGGGGGAGAUUGCAGAAUGGGUGAAAGACUGAUGCAGCGUGUCGGAGUGGGGGAUGAAGGUUGUCGGGUUGUAAACGUCUUUCGCUAGGGAACGGGUAGGCGCAGAAGAAGCGCCGGCUAACUACGUGCCAGCAGCCGCGGUAAUUC